Molecule: ribosomal RNA, 735 nt
Filed under: uncultured bacterium
Lineage: Bacteria
Description: bacterial SSU rRNA
Rfam family: Bacterial small subunit ribosomal RNA
Source: RNAcentral
GUCGGACGAAGAUACUUAAAAUGAGAGCUUCGGCAGGAUUUUUAUUUAUCUUACCGUCGGACGGGUGAGUAACGUGUGGGCAACCUGCCCUAUACUGCGGAAUAAUCACUGGAAACGGUGACUAAUACCGCAUGUCAUUACGGAAGGGCAUCCUUCUGUAAGAAAAGGAGUAAUUCGGUAUAGGAUGGGCCCGCAUCUGAUUAGCUAGUUGGUGAGAUAACAGCCCACCAAGGCGACGAUCAGUAGCCGACCUGAGAGGGUGAUCGGCCACAUUGGGACUGAGACACGGCCCAAACUCCUACGGGAGGCAGCAGUGGGGAAUAUUGCACAAUGGGGGAAACCCUGAUGCAGCAACGCCGCGUGAAGGAAGAAGGUUUUCGGAUCGUAAACUUCUAUCAACAGGGACGAAGAAAGUGACGGUACCUGAAUAAGAAGCCCCGGCUAACUACGUGCCAGCAGCCGCGGUAAUACGUAGGGGGCAAGCGUUAUCCGGAAUUACUGGGUGUAAAGGGAGCGUAGGCGGCACGCCAAGCCAGAUGUGAAAGCCCGAGGCUUAACCUCGCGGAUUGCAUUUGGAACUGGCGAGCUAGAGUACAGGAGAGGAAAGCGGAAUUCCUAGUGUAGCGGUGAAAUGCGUAGAUAUUAGGAAGAACACCAGUGGCGAAGGCGGCUUUCUGGACUGAAACUGACGCUGAGGCUCGAAAGCGUGGGGAGCAAACAGGAUUAGAUACCCUG